CCCCUCGCCUUUUGACUUAUUUCUAAUUUGAAUUUUUCUGGCUUUAAUUUCAAGUCACUGAUUCUUGUUCUGCCUUUCACUGCUAGAUUAAAGUACACUUUAGUACCCAGUACUUUUCCCCUGUGAAGGCACUUAUAUACCAUAAUCAACUCACCAAUCGAUAAACUAAACAGAUUGAACUCUUAAAUCUCUCACUGUCAGGCAUUUUCUCCAGUCCGUGAAUCAUUUUUGUGGCUCUUCUCUGCAGCCUCUGCAGUUUUUCAACCUCCUUGGUAAAAUGUGGACACCUGGACGCAGUAUUCUUGUACAAGUCUCACCAAUGCUAUAUAUAGCACUUUGGUUUCAUUAAAUGUCUCCUCAUUCCUAUAUUAUGAGAAUGGGUCAAUAAACAUGCCCUUUCUAGUUGUAUGAGCCUUCUUUUAAGAAAAGAACAUUUUGAUUUGCAGGGGGCAUUUUAAGAGGUUCAGCAGACGAUGCAUGUUGACGGGCCCUGGAAGGGAAAGUUGAUGGCCGAAGAGUGAGAGGCAGAAAAAGAAGCUCUUGGAGGACAACGCGGUAUCCCAGGUGGCUCAAAAGGACUAUUCAUCCACAAAGAGAUUAAGAGAGGACCGUACAGAAUGGGCUACCACGGUUGCAAACCUCUAGUAAUGGAGAAGCCAUAUAAGAAGAAGAUGAGCUUUUCAACAUCUUAUGGCACUGCAAUGAAUUUGCUUCCAGCAGCACGAAUAAUCAUCCAUGAUGGAGCCUGUGUUAGAUCUCUGUCUGCACUGCAACACAGGGAAAUGUAAAUGAAAUCCGCCCGUUUAGAUGUCUUUAAUGUGAAGCUGCCACCUGGGAUUGUACUGAGAGUCUUUUGACCAAAUUCAGCAAGGGGGAUAGGGUACACCACUAAAGACAUAACAGGGAGCACAGAAUCUGCUCUUCAUUUAAAUGCCUCCUACAUGCUCAUUACUUGUGUGAUACUCAUAAAGAGUCAGUCAAUCAUUUCAGUGCCUAGAAUUGCAUUCUUAAUGAUGAAUCUCCCUAAUUAAUCCCUUCUCUGAGCUUUGCAGUGAGCCCUGUGCCGUGUCUGUCUUGUUUAAGUUGUACGUGCUGCCUCAGGAUCAAGGCCAUCUUCAUUCUGGGGGAAAAUUUCAAAAGCACCUAAGGGCCACAGGAGCACAAAUGCUACUAGAAAUCAAUGGGGCUCGUGCUCCCAAAUCCCAGGGUUGGAGCACCCACAGAGAAAAAUUAGUGGGUGUAUAGCACCCAUCAGCAGCCAAGCUCCCCUUCCUCCUCCCACUCCUGCCCGCUGCUGGCCCCCACCGAUCAAUUCCUCCUCCUUCCUCCCAGUGCCUC
RNAcentral lists this long non-coding RNA (1338 nucleotides) under Chrysemys picta bellii (western painted turtle). RNAcentral's name for it is "lncRNA (ENSCPBG00000004374.1)". Lineage: Eukaryota; Metazoa; Chordata; Testudines; Emydidae. The record is from RNAcentral.